This 392-nucleotide ribosomal RNA is filed under the name uncultured bacterium. RNAcentral describes it as "partial 16S ribosomal RNA". It matches the Rfam family "Bacterial small subunit ribosomal RNA", at positions 523 to 918 of the family's 1533-position model. The record is from RNAcentral.
AUACGGAGGAUCCGAGCGUUAUCCGGAUUUAUUGGGUUUAAAGGGUGCGUAGGUGGUUUGAUAAGUCAGCGGUGAAAGUUUGCAGCUUAACUGUAAAAUGCCGUUGAAACUGUCGGACUUGAGUGUAAAUGAGGUAGGCGGAAUGCGUGGUGUAGCGGUGAAAUGCAUAGAUAUCACGCAGAACUCCGAUUGCGAAGGCAGCUUACUAAGCUACAACUGACACUGAAGCACGAAAGCGUGGGGAUCAAACAGGAUUAGAUACCCUGGUAGUCCACGCAGUAAACGAUGAUUACUAGCUGUUUGCGAUACACAGUAAGCGGCACAGCGAAAGCGUUAAGUAAUCCACCUGGGGAGUACGCCGGCAACGGUGAAACUCAAAGGAAUUGACGGGG